Molecule: small nucleolar RNA, 69 nt
Organism: Columba livia (rock pigeon)
Lineage: Eukaryota; Metazoa; Chordata; Aves; Columbiformes; Columbidae
Source: RefSeq, a predicted model, not a curated record
CGGAGGUGAUGUCACUUUGUUGUCCUGACCUGCUGUGGAGGCCAAAGACUGAUUUAAUGAGGCUGAUCC